This 63-nucleotide transfer RNA is filed under the name Ptenothrix huangshanensis. RNAcentral describes it as "tRNA-Arg". Lineage: Eukaryota; Metazoa; Arthropoda; Collembola; Symphypleona; Dicyrtomidae. The record is from RNAcentral.
AAAGAGGAAGCUUUAAAGCACUCAGUUUCGACCUGAAAAUAAGGUUAAUAAAACCCCCCUUUU